Molecule: ribosomal RNA, 409 nt
Filed under: uncultured prokaryote
Also listed under: 1 other name
Description: bacterial SSU rRNA
Rfam family: Bacterial small subunit ribosomal RNA
Source: RNAcentral
UGGGGAAUAUUGCACAAUGGGCGCAAGCCUGAUGCAGCGACGCCGCGUGGCGGAUGAAGGCCUUCGGGUUGUAAACCCCUUUCAGCAGGGAAGAAGCGAAAGUGACGGUACCUGCAGAAGAAGCGCCGGCUAACUACGUGCCAGCAGCCGCGGUAAUACGUAGGGCGCGAGCGGUGUCCGGAUGUCUUGGGCGUAAAGAGCUCGUAGGCGGUUUGUCGCGUCUGCUGUGAAAUCCUCUGGCUUAACUGGGGGCGUGCAGUGGGUACGGGCAGACUAGAGUGCGGUAGGGGAGACUGGAAUUCCUGGUGUAGCGGUGGAAUGCGCAGAUAUCAGGAGGAACACCGAUGGCGAAGGCAGGUCUCUGGUCCGCAACUGACGCUGAGGAGCGAAAGCAUGGGGAGCGAACAGG